This 53-nucleotide transfer RNA is filed under the name Paratemnoides elongatus. Its description in RNAcentral is "tRNA-Trp". Lineage: Eukaryota; Metazoa; Arthropoda; Arachnida; Pseudoscorpiones; Atemnidae. The record is from RNAcentral.
AAAGCUAAAAGUUGUGUACUGUWAACCUUCAAAGUUAAUAAAAUUAAGCUUUU